GGACGAACGCUGGCGGCGUGCUUAACACAUGCAAGUCGAACGGACUUUAUAUGAAGCCUAGCGAUUAUAAAGUUAGUGGCGGACGGGUGAGUAACGCGUGAAUAACCUGCCCUGUACCGGGGGACAACAGUUGGAAACGGCUGCUAAUACCGCAUAAGCGCACGGUUCCGCAUGGAACAGUGUGAAAAACUCCGGUGGUACAGGAUGGAUUCGCGUCUGAUUAGCCAGUUGGUGGGGUAACGGCCUACCAAAGCAACGAUCAGUAGCCGGCCUGAGAGGGUGAACGGCCACAUUGGGACUGAGACACGGCCCAAACUCCUACGGGAGGCAGCAGUGGGGAAUAUUGCACAAUGGGGGAAACCCUGAUGCAGCGACGCCGCGUGAGUGAAGAAGUUAUUCGUAACGUAAAGCUCUAUCAGCAGGGAAGAAAAUGACGGUACCUGACUAAGAAGCCCCGGCUAACUACGUG
RNAcentral lists this ribosomal RNA (469 nucleotides) under uncultured bacterium. RNAcentral's name for it is "bacterial SSU rRNA". It matches the Rfam family "Bacterial small subunit ribosomal RNA", at positions 27 to 507 of the family's 1533-position model. The record is from RNAcentral.